This 523-nucleotide long non-coding RNA is filed under the name Coffea arabica (coffee). RNAcentral describes it as "long non-coding RNA (CARA_LNC001701)". The record is from RNAcentral. Lineage: Eukaryota; Viridiplantae; Streptophyta; Magnoliopsida; Gentianales; Rubiaceae.
UUUCAAUACACAUUUUUAUCUUCUCAAUUAUCUUUUUAUCUCACAUACAUCAUAUUACAAAAAAUAUUACAGUAAAAAUAUCUCAAAUAAUUUACCAUCCAAACUCACUUGAGUUGUGUAGGAUACCAUACAUCAUUCCCUUCUGCACGCAGAGGUCAGGAUAGAAGCCCUUGACCAUAGAGACAGUUACAGUUGUUUCAUAAACAUUUGACCAGCAACUCUUAGUUAAACUGAAAAUCAAGGCAUGUGGUCAGAUUCAACUAAUUCCCACUUUCAACGUAACAAAAGAACAUCAAACAACACGAAAAUAAAAAAAAAAAUAAAAAUGUUUGUGAUGCUAACAAGGAACCUGGAUGCUCUUCUUGAAUGUCAAAAAUGCUGAGCUAAACCAUCAGUUUCUACGUCAACUUUUGAUCUUUGAAGAGCCUGUUUUUCAUCCGGUGCAAGCACCAUUUGCACCUUCCUUACAAUUGCCCCCUUGGCCCUCUUCCUCAUGUUGUAACCAAAAGAAAGAAAAAAAAAA